GCUUGCUUCUCUUGAGAGCGGCGGACGGGUGAGUAAUGCCUAGGAAUCUGCCUGGUAGUGGGGGAUAACGUUCGGAAACGGACGCUAAUACCGCAUACGUCCUACGGGAGAAAGCAGGGGACCUUCGGGCCUUGCGCUAUCAGAUGAGCCUAGGUCGGAUUAGCUAGUUGGUGAGGUAAUGGCUCACCAAGGCGACGAUCCGUAACUGGUCUGAGAGGAUGAUCAGUCACACUGGAACUGAGACACGGUCCAGACUCCUACGGGAGGCAGCAGUGGGGAAUAUUGGACAAUGGGCGAAAGCCUGAUCCAGCCAUGCCGCGUGUGUGAAGAAGGUCUUCGGAUUGUAAAGCACUUUAAGUUGGGAGGAAGGGCAGUUACCUAAUACGUGAUUGUUUUGACGUUACCGACAGAAUAAGCACCGGCUAACUCUGUGCCAGCAGCCGCGGUAAUACAGAGGGUGCAAGCGUUAAUCGGAAUUACUGGGCGUAAAGCGCGCGUAGGUGGUUUGUUAAGUUGGAUGUGAAAUCCCCGGGCUCAACCUGGGAACUGCAUUCAAAACUGACUGACUAGAGUAUGGUAGAGGGUGGUGGAAUUUCCUGUGUAGCGGUGAAAUGCGUAGAUAUAGGAAGGAACACCAGUGGCGAAGGCGACCACCUGGACUGAUACUGACACUGAGGUGCGAAAGCGUGGGGAGCAAACAGGAUUAGAUACCCUGGUAGUCCACGCCGUAAACGAUGUCAACUAGCCGUUGGGAGCCUUGAGCUCUUAGUGGCGCAGCUAACGCAUUAAGUUGACCGCCUGGGGAGUACGGCCGCAAGGUUAAAACUCAAAUGAAUUGACGGGGGCCCGCACAAGCGGU
This 859-nucleotide ribosomal RNA is filed under the name Pseudomonas extremaustralis. Its description in RNAcentral is "bacterial SSU rRNA". It matches the Rfam family "Bacterial small subunit ribosomal RNA", at positions 78 to 933 of the family's 1533-position model. The record is from RNAcentral. Lineage: Bacteria; Pseudomonadati; Pseudomonadota; Gammaproteobacteria; Pseudomonadales; Pseudomonadaceae.